AACGCGUAGCGCACGCGCGCUCGAGGCGACCGGUGCCGCGGAGGUCACGUUUGACUUCCGCGGCACCG
This 68-nucleotide small RNA is filed under the name Mycobacterium phage Giles. Its description in RNAcentral is "pseudoknot RNA". The record is from RNAcentral. Lineage: Duplodnaviria; Heunggongvirae; Uroviricota; Caudoviricetes.